Molecule: ribosomal RNA, 247 nt
Filed under: uncultured bacterium
Lineage: Bacteria
Description: partial 16S ribosomal RNA
Rfam family: Bacterial small subunit ribosomal RNA
Source: RNAcentral
GUAGGGGGCAAGCGUUAUCCGGAUUUACUGGGUGUAAAGGGAGCGUAGACGGUUAUGUAAGUCUGGAGUGAAAGCCCGGGGCCCAACCCCGGGACUGCUUUGGAAACUGUGUAACUGGAGUACAGGAGGGGCAGGCGGAAUUCCUGGUGUAGCGGUGAAAUGCGUAGAUAUCAGGAGGAACACCGGCGGCGAAGGCGGCCUGCUGGACUGAAACUGACGUUGAGGCUCGAAAGCGUGGGGAGCAAAC